GAAUCUAAAUAUUAAUUAACUAAUACACUGUAAGUAUUUCAUAUAGCUAGGGCCUCAUGUAGAAAAAAAUAUUUGAUGCUCCAAUGAUUUUUUUUUUUUUUUUUUUUAGCAAAGAUGCUCCGAUUACAAGAGAAGCAAAUCAAAAUCUAUAAUGAAGGAUUUUGUUAAUAAACAUCAAACUAAUUUGUCAUUAAGCUACAAAACCUAUUCUUAAGUCUCAACUAAACCCAUUAAGCUCAUUAUUGGUAGGGCCGAAUCACAUUGAUGGCUUGCUUUUCUUUCUUAUAAUAAAU
RNAcentral lists this long non-coding RNA (293 nucleotides) under Capsella rubella. RNAcentral describes it as "long non-coding RNA (CRUB_LNC001329)". The record is from RNAcentral. Lineage: Eukaryota; Viridiplantae; Streptophyta; Magnoliopsida; Brassicales; Brassicaceae.